GCAAGUCGAACGAGAACUGUCCUAGUUUACUAGGGCGUAAGCUAAGUGGCGCACGGGUGAGUAAUGCAUAGUUAAUCUGCCUCUUAGAGAGGGAUAACAGUUGGAAACGACUGCUAAUACCUCAUACUCCUUUAUGACAUAAGUUGUAAAGGGAAAUGAGUUUUGCUAAGAGAUGAGACUAUGUCCUAUCAGCUAGUUGGUGAGGUAAGAGCUCACCAAGGCUAUGACGGGUAACUGGUUUGAGAGGAUGAUC
RNAcentral lists this ribosomal RNA (253 nucleotides) under uncultured bacterium. RNAcentral's name for it is "partial 16S ribosomal RNA". It matches the Rfam family "Bacterial small subunit ribosomal RNA", at positions 57 to 305 of the family's 1533-position model. The record is from RNAcentral.